Mauremys reevesii (Reeves's turtle) is the source of this 256-nucleotide long non-coding RNA. RefSeq lists it as uncharacterized. The record is from RefSeq and is a predicted model, not a curated record. The transcript has 3 exons. NCBI's taxonomy places the organism in Eukaryota, Metazoa, Chordata, Testudines, Geoemydidae.
GUGUUUGAGAAGACUCUGAUGACUUCUGAAAAUGAGAUUUUCCAGACUUGACAGCGGGUGUUAUGGACUUAAUUCCUCAAUCACAUCAUUGGAAUUAACUGACGAAGCCAAUUCUUGUUCAAUGUACAAAAUCAUGACAGCCACUGCUUCUGCUCUGCAUGCCCAUCUUGUGUUUGACAGUGACUUCAAAGUCUUCAACUGGGAUCCUACUUCUUGUGAAAGCUUCUCCAUUACUGCAUGUCGCACUGGAAUCCCC